This 585-nucleotide ribosomal RNA is filed under the name uncultured bacterium. RNAcentral's name for it is "partial 16S ribosomal RNA". It matches the Rfam family "Bacterial small subunit ribosomal RNA", at positions 355 to 1375 of the family's 1533-position model. The record is from RNAcentral.
UGGGGAAUUUUGGACAAUGGGCGAAAGCCUGAUCCAGCAAUGCCGCGUGUGUGAAGAAGGCCUUCGGGUUGUAAAGCACUUUUGUCCGGAAAGAAAUCCUUGGCUCUAAUACAGUCGGGGGAUGACGGUACCGGAAGAAUAAGCACCGGCUAACUACGUGCCAGCAGCCGCGGUAAUACGUAGGGUGCAAGCGUUAAUCGGAAUUACUGGGCGUAAAGCGUGCGCAGGCGGUUUGCUAAGACCGAUGUGAAAUCCCCGGGCUCAACCUGGGAACUGCAUUGGUGACUGGCAGGCUAGAGUAUGGCAGAGGGGGGUAGAAUUCCACGUGUAGCAGUGAAAUGCGUAGAGAUGUGGAGGAAUACCGAUGGCGAAGGCAGCCCCCUGGGCCAAUACUGACGCUCAUGCACGAAAGCGUGGGGGGCAAACAGGAUUAGAUACCCUGGUAGUCCACGCCCUAAACGAUGUCAACUAGUUGUUGGGGAUUCAUUUCCUUAGUAACGUAGCUAACGCGUGAAGUUGACCGCCUGGGGAGUACGGUCGCAAGAUUAAAACUUAAAGGAAUUGACGGGGUCAUAGCUGUUUCCU